GGAGAGGUGGCUGAGUUGGCUGAAGGCGCUCGCCUGGAAAGCGGGUAAACGUGGAAGCGUUUCGAGGGUUCGAAUCCCUCUCUCUCCGCCA
This 91-nucleotide transfer RNA is filed under the name Tissierella simiarum. RNAcentral describes it as "Tissierella sp. MSJ-40 tRNA-Ser". It matches the Rfam family "tRNA". Rfam says of the family: Transfer RNA (tRNA) molecules are approximately 80 nucleotides in length. Their secondary structure includes four short double-helical elements and three loops (D, anti-codon, and T loops). Lineage: Bacteria; Bacillati; Bacillota; Tissierellia; Tissierellales; Tissierellaceae. The record is from RNAcentral.